Molecule: long non-coding RNA, 2100 nt
Filed under: Sus scrofa (pig)
Lineage: Eukaryota; Metazoa; Chordata; Mammalia; Artiodactyla; Suidae
Description: lncRNA (ENSSSCG00005036511.1)
Source: RNAcentral
CUAGUGGGAGCAUCCUAAGAGGAACCAGGUCAGGAGCAGAGACUGUUCUUCAGGUUAGAGGUGUAUUCGGGGACCUCUGGGACUCCUUACUUCUUGUGAGGUCCUGGGCUGAGUCCCCGGCCCCCAGGGCCAGGCAGAGGGGAGAGGCCCUCAGAGCCUCUUCCUGCUCCUAGCACAGCCACCCCAACUUAGAGCCUCCGUCAGAUCCUCACCCUGGGGGGCGGGGGGUGGGUGGGAACUAAUUGCACUGGUUCUGGUCCUAAGUUCUCUGCUUGCCCCCCGCCCCAGCAGAAAGGGUGAAAAUCCUGCAUCCUUCCUUCCUACCCCCUCUUUGUUGGCUGCUCCCACCCUCCCCUGAAUUGGUAUUCUCCUGUCCCCUUCCUCUACCCCACCCCCCACCCCACCCCAGGAGGCUAGGGCUUUGUACUGUGAGCCGGGCUUAGCGCCCUGUCCUGGGGCCACAGCGGAGGAGGACUCACCCAGCUUCUUACCAGAAUCCGCCCUCUGGGCAGGUGUGUGCCAGGGCGGGACUCCCCGCAGGUAGCCCAGGGAGGGGCAGGUCUCGUUGUGCCUCCUCAUUCCCUGCCUGCAGGGGUGGGACAAGGGUGGAGCAGCGCUUUCCCGUUCCCCCAAGCCUGCUUCUUACCGGGGAUUGGAGUUAGUCGUCAGGGGGCGGGAGCAGAUGUUGUAAAGUGGAGGCCAGUCCGAGAAUGGCCAGAAAUUCCCCUAUAAAACUGAACUUCCCUGAUUCUAAUCCACGGAGGAAGGCUUAGCCCAGGCCUUGCUCUGGGGACUGCUGAGUCCUAACUUGUAAAUGAUGUUUGAUCAGAGACAGGUGCUUUUCCCUGCAGGCUCAGGUCUCCCAAGCUCUGAAGGAGGUGGCUGGGGAGCAUGUGAGGUAUCCAGGCGGAUGGCUUCAUUGGCCUUCCAGUGUCUCUCUCUGAGAGCAGCUUUGGGGCUCUGGGCAGAUGGCUUCAUUGGCCUUCCAGUGUCUCUCUCUGAGAGCAGCUUUGGGGCUCUGGGCAGAUGGCUUCAUUGGCCUUCCAGUGUCUCUCUCUGAGAGCAGCUUUGGGGCUCUGGGCAGGGCAGAUGGUUGGCCUUCCAGUGUCUCCUUGAGCAGUUUUGGGGUGCUGAGCUGUGAGCGGCCCUGGCCUUUCCUCCUGGAUGCCUGGGAUUAUGGUACCGGCAGGGGAGGGGGCAGCUGUCUCCAUCAGCACCAUUCUUGCUCCCAUGUCCCGUCCCUCCUGGCAACCCCUCUCUUCUCCUGCCCCAGAAAACACUGUCCUCCAUAUCUUCUGAGCAGGGAAGCCAGAAGCAUCUUCCCCAUCAGCCCUCCUGGACUCCCUCCUGGGAAGGGCUCUGAGCUAAAACCUGGGUACCUCUGGGGACAGGACCUGCCCACAGAGGCCCCUGGGGCAAAGGGCAUGGAUCUGGCACAGAAUCAGCCCCUGAGAGAGGACAAGAUGCCCUAGGGACUGCAGAGGCAGCGGCUGCUUCUGGUCAGAGCAUUUUGCGGGGCUAGGCAUGCAACCCAACAGGCAAACACACGCGUGCGUCUGAGCCUCUUCCUGCAGAGGCCUGCCCUCUGCUUGGGGAGUGUGGAGGAGGGAGGGCAGAGCGGACCGAGGUGGCCUGUAUACACCUCGGAGUCAAUCACCUUUUCCCACCGUGGCACGAGGCUCCAGGGCCUGUGCAGAGGCCGUGAAAGUUUGCGUGUUUAAUCCCUGCAACUGCCACGAGGUGUGUGUAUUGCCUGCCCAGCUCACAGGAAGAAACAGAGCCACAAGGAGGCACAGUGACUGCACUUGAGAUUCGGUUUUAAGAUCCCAGUCCCGGAGUUCCUGUCGUGGCGCAGUGGUUAACGAAUCCGACUAGGAACCAUGAGGUUGCGGGUUCUAUCCCUGCCCUUGCUCAGUGGGUUGACGAUCCGGUGUUGCCGUGAGCUGUGGUGUAGGUUGCAGACGCGGCUGGGAUCCCGCGUUGCUGUGGCUCUGGCGUAGGCCAGUGGCUACAGCUCCGAUUGGACCUCUAGCCUGGGAACCUCCAUAUGCCGCAGGAGCGGCCCAAGAAAUAGCAAAAAGACAAAAAAAAAAAAAAAAA